This 460-nucleotide ribosomal RNA is filed under the name uncultured bacterium. RNAcentral's name for it is "bacterial SSU rRNA". It matches the Rfam family "Bacterial small subunit ribosomal RNA", at positions 28 to 507 of the family's 1533-position model. The record is from RNAcentral.
GAUGAACGCUGGCGGCGUGCUUAAUACAUGCAAGUCGAACGGAGACUGUAGCAAUACUGUCUUAGUGGCGAACGGGUGAGUAACGCGUUGGUGACCUGCCCCGAAGAGGGGGAUAACAGUCCGAAAGGAUUGCUAAUACCCCAUGUGGUCGUUUGGAUUAGAUGCCUUAUGACUAAACGGAUUUAUUCGCUUCGGGAGGGGCCUGCGUCCCAUCAGCUAGUUGGUGAGGUAAUAGCUUACCAAGGCGAUGACGGGUAGGGGACCUGAGAGGGUGGCCCCCCACAAUGGAACUGAAACACGGUCCAUACACCUACGGGUGGCAGCAGUAGGGAAUAUUGGUAAUCUGGGAAACCGGAACCAGCAACGCCGCGUGCGCGAUGACGGCCUUGGGUUGUAAAGCGCUUUUUAAAGGGAUGAGGAAGGACAGUACCUUUAGAAUAAGCCUCGGCUAACUACCGUG